UUGAUCAAGAUAUCAUUUCACUCUCUUCACCAUCACAUCAACUCAUUUAUUACCCAUCAUUUCUUCCCUUUUUAAACAAAAAAAUACAUACAGAAUCCAUCUCUUUCUUUCUUCUUCAUACCCCAUUCCUUUCUCUUCAAAACCCUAACUCCAUUGCUUUCACCCCAUUCCUUCCAACCUUUGAAAUAUGAAGAUCGAAGCCACCAUCAAUGCUCUGCCACCAUCAAAGCUCUCAAAGAUCGAAGAUUAAAGCCACCAUCCCUUCCAACCUUGAAAUCUGAAGAUCGAAGCCACCAUUGAAGAUCGAAGCCACCAUCAAAGCUCUCAAAGAAAAGGAAGCUCGGUGUCAUUUUAAUCACAUCUUUGUUUCUGUUUUUUAGAGAGAGAAAGCUAAUAUUUUGGAAGGAGAGAUAACAAUUUUCAUGUUGUUCACCUAGACACCAAGAACACACGCACAAGUGUGUGAGAGAGAAACAGGUGGAAAGAUGUUUUGUGUUCAAGAUGAAGAUGGUUAUCAAGAAGCGAAACCCGCGGAAGGAUUACAACGCAUCAUCAGGUUUUCGUGGUGACGAUGGUGUUGUUGUGAAGGCAAUUUUUAGAAGACCAUUUUAGAAGCAUUACAACUAUUGAUAUAAAAUUUAUUUUUAUUUUCAUUGUUAGUAUGCCAAUAUUUGGAUGAAUACGGAUGUUGUUGUGAAGGCAA
Long non-coding RNA from Helianthus annuus (common sunflower), 703 nucleotides. RefSeq lists it as uncharacterized. The record is from RefSeq and is a predicted model, not a curated record. The transcript is spliced from 2 exons. Lineage: Eukaryota; Viridiplantae; Streptophyta; Magnoliopsida; Asterales; Asteraceae.